CAUUAUAUUCACUAGAUUCAACCUCUAUUAGUCAAAUUCUCUUUUGACAAAGGAAAAAAAGAGAGCAGAUCUUGAUGCUUAAGACGAUACAGGCUACAUACCCCAUAGUUUGAGCCCAUAUCAAGAAGGGGCUACGUAAGUGCCCACGUUGAGGGCAAUAAGAUGAAGUGGCCCAUAUAAGUGCUUGAUCCAUGAGCCCAGAAGAUCUGAAGUCUCAAAAAAGUCAACUAACAAUUAACUAAACAAGAGUAAACAACAAACCAAAAAAAACAAAAAAACAAAAAAAUCCAAAUUGACGGAUUGCUAUCUUUCUUUCUUUCUUCUUUUUUCGGCCGGAGAUAUUGAGAUAUACAUGAAUCUGAUAGAACCGAAAACGGACGGCCUGAAACGGGCAAAAAAGUUUCCCCAGAUAGUCGGAUCACCGUUGACUUGCCACUGCCUAUGGAUCCGUGAUAAUUGCUUGCCAGUUAUUCGCUCCUUCCUUGAUUUCUUACUUUGGCUUCUUGUGCUUCCUUACUAACUACAAAUCUGCCACAAACCUUACCCCUUCGCUCGGUUUCUACUUCCUGCUUUCCUUUGCUGCUUGGGCCUACGAUUACGAUUACAGAUAGUUUAUGCUACAAUCUCCAACGGAAAACAUUGAUAUAUAAUGAGAACGAGUUCAGAUGCACUCGGGUGCUUUAAUUUGUUAUGGAGAGUUGAGAUUAGAAUAAGUUGCAGGGUGCUUCUAAUGCGUUUGCUUCCUGGCAAACAACAGCCUCAGUACGAAGAAUAACCUUGGACUGUUUUAGGAUCGUCGGGGGAAAACACGUACGGACGAGCGAGGAGCUAGUUUAGCAUUUUCCUGGGUAAUGCGCUAGGUUGUCAGUAAAUUGUUGCGUGAUUGAUCAGUUCUUGCAGCAAAUAUUGAAAAUUAUUCGUAUGGUACAUCUCUAAUGCUCAAAAUUAUGGGAAAAGCCCAGGCGUGUCAAAGGGGAAAUUUGGAUCAAUUUCCGCUGGAUCAAUAGGGAAAUUAAAAUCAAGAAUUGGAGAAUUGCUGGCUGAUGUGUUGGCUGAAAUGAUCUCAGUAAUGUCAGAUUCCGAGCAUGGCUGGUGUUUGAUGCCAUGGAACUCAUCCAUCUUGAAAGA
Molecule: long non-coding RNA, 1128 nt
Organism: Prosopis cineraria
Lineage: Eukaryota; Viridiplantae; Streptophyta; Magnoliopsida; Fabales; Fabaceae
Exons: 3
Source: RefSeq, a predicted model, not a curated record